UACGGCGGCCAUAGCGAAGGGGAAACGCCCGGUCCCAUUCCGAACCCGGAAGCUAAGCCCUUCAGCGCCGAUGGUACUGCACCCGCCAGGAUGUGGGAGAGUAGGACGCCGCCGAAC
This 117-nucleotide ribosomal RNA is filed under the name Cellulomonas sp. Lineage: Bacteria; Bacillati; Actinomycetota; Actinomycetes; Micrococcales; Cellulomonadaceae. The record is from RNAcentral. RNAcentral also lists the same sequence under 1 other name.